GUGGGGAAUAUUGGACAAUGGGCGCAAGCCUGAUCCAGCCAUGCCGCGUGAGUGAUGAAGGCCCUAGGGUUGUAAAGCUCUUUCACCGGUGAAGAUAAUGACGGUAACCGGAGAAGAAGCCCCGGCUAACUUCGUGCCAGCAGCCGCGGUAAUACGAAGGGGGCUAGCGUUGUUCGGAAUUACUGGGCGUAAAGCGCACGUAGGCGGGUAUUUAAGUCAGGGGUGAAAUCCCAGAGCUCAACUCUGGAACUGCCUUUGAUACUGGGUACCUAGAGUAUGGAAGAGGUGAGUGGAAUUCCGAGUGUAGAGGUGAAAUUCGUAGAUAUUCGGAGGAACACCAGUGGCGAAGGCGGCUCACUGGUCCAUUACUGACGCUGAGGUGCGAAAGCGUGGGGAGCAAACAGGAUUAGAAACCCCAGUAGUCC
This 425-nucleotide ribosomal RNA is filed under the name uncultured bacterium. Its description in RNAcentral is "partial 16S ribosomal RNA". It matches the Rfam family "Bacterial small subunit ribosomal RNA", at positions 354 to 796 of the family's 1533-position model. The record is from RNAcentral.